Oryza sativa Japonica Group (Japanese rice) is the source of this 1661-nucleotide non-coding RNA. The record is from RefSeq and is a predicted model, not a curated record. Lineage: Eukaryota; Viridiplantae; Streptophyta; Magnoliopsida; Poales; Poaceae.
ACAUAUAUUUAAUACUUUAUAGAGGUGUUCAAACGAAUUUUAGGGUGGGAUCUAAAGAUGGCCUUAAAGGAGAAACAAACGUGAGAACUGGAAGGCCUAGGCCUUUUUCCAAAUUAAGCCCAGGAGUAGAUGUCGGAAAUGUCGAAAAGGCCCAUCUACAGUAUACACACCGUCUCUCUCGGAAGUCUGGAAGCAAGCGAAGCUCCGGUUUCAAGCGGCGGAGCGCCGCCGCCGGCAACCGCCGUGACGCCAUGAUUCACCUCCGGAGGUGCGUCCUUUCUCGCCUCCUCCAGCCACCGUGCCUCACCGCCGCCACGCACGCCAAUUCCCUCCUCUCCCUCCACCUCCGCCGCCUCCUCUCCGGCGCCGCCGAACCCUUCGCCGUCGAGGACUACCUCGUGGAGUCCUGCGGCCUGACGAGAGCCCGCGCGGAGAAGGUCUCCGGGAAGCUCUCCCACCUCAGGUCCCCCUCCAAGCCCGACGCCGUCCUCGCCAUCCUCUCCGGCCUCGGCCUCACGCGCCCCGACAUCGCCGCCGCCGUCGCCUCCGACCCAAGGCUGCUGUGCGCCCGUGUGGACAGGACGCUGGAUGCCCGCGUCGCCGAGCUCGGCGGCAUCGGCCUCUCCCGCUCCCAGAUCGCGCGCCUCAUCCCGCUCGCUCGCGGCGGAUUCCGCAUCAAGUCUCUUGGUUCAAAGCUCGCCUUCUUGGUCACAGUAUUUGGCUCAUUCGACAGGUGCCUGGAGGUUGUCAGGAUGAACUGUGGGCAAUUAAGCCGGGAACACGUCUAUUUGCUCUCGCAGUUGUGAAGUUUGCAAUCCUCAGCCAGGGGAAGAUCACCAAGAAAUCAGGGCUGUUUAAGAAGCUUGGAUGGUCACAGGAAGAUUUGUCAUUAGCAGCGAAGAACAUGCCAAGUAUCCUUGCCAUGGGUGAGAAAAGGUUGAGGCAAAGAAUGAAGUUCUUGACGGAGGAUGUUGGUCUAGAGAUACCAUACAUUGCACAAAGGCCUGCACUCAUGUUUUAUAGCAUUGAGCGCCGCUUAUUGCCAAGGCAUUGCUUGAUCAAUGUUCUCAAGAGGAACGGAUUGCUUAAGAUCAAUUAUGACUUCUAUUCUACUGCCUUGAUUAGCAAUGAGAAAUUUCUGGAUAAAUUCGUGCAUCCUUAUGUGGAGAGUGUUCCAGGCAUUGGUGAUGCCUAUGCUUCUAGCUGUGCUGGAUGUGGAGUGGACCAGUUGAAGCUGUUAUCGAAGAAUAAGAUAAUGUGCUGAAGCUUCUUCUAUUAACACCCACAAGCUGGGACAAUUUUUAGGUUAGUUAUCAGUUUGGUUUUUUUACUUCUAGAGCCAAACGAAAUUGAGCUUUGCUCUCGACAAGCCAAACUGAGAUUCAGGUCUCGAUUAAGGAUGUCACUAUGCCAAUCAAAGACUGAACUUUCUAUUAAAUGGAUUUAUCUAUAAAUCUUUAUGAAGUGAGCUGACGUAUUUUCUAGCACUAAGUCGAUUGAAUUGUUAUAGUUCUGUCACUGUUGCUCUGAUUUAUAUGGCUCAGCAACAGUGUUUAAUAUUUAGGGAUCAAACUCUCUUGUUUUUUCUGUUGCCUUGUUCCUUAGUUAUGUGAGGUAAAUUUGAUUUAGUUUAUAUGUUCUGGGAAACUCACUGUUGCAAA